Long non-coding RNA from Chelonia mydas (Green sea turtle), 314 nucleotides. RefSeq lists it as uncharacterized. Lineage: Eukaryota; Metazoa; Chordata; Testudines; Cheloniidae. The record is from RefSeq and is a predicted model, not a curated record. The transcript has 3 exons.
AGCUUGGGAACUCCCCAGGCUGAGGCCUUGGGAGGCUGGAGAGCAAAUGGAGACCGAAGAGUUAAAAAGCACUUCCUGAAGGUGAGAAGAGGAGUCACUUAUGAGCAGCCAUCUAGGCAAACAGGCUGGCACAGACAGGGCUGUAUGGAGGAGUCUGAAGGAAUUGGGCCUUCUAGACCCAGGGAAUGCUUCUGUGCAACGGUAUUGCUAAGGAAGGGGAGCGAAUGAGAGCAACGUCUUGAGCCACGAUUGCACGCAGACAUCAUUGCAAGCAGCUGCUCACAGCUCUGCCGAAGGACCUCAGUCCAGACCUG